UGAACGCUGGCGGCGUGCCUAAUACAUGCAAGUCGAGCGAGAAUCAGUCGAUCGGAGAUCGUCAAAGAGAAGCUGAGGAAAGCGGCGGACGGGUGAGUAACGCGUAGGCAACCUGCCCUUAGCAGAGGGAUAGCCAUUGGAAACGAUGAUUAAAACCUCAUAAUGCUGUUGGGACACAUGUCCCUGCAGCCAAAGAUUUAUCGGCUAAGGAUGGGCCUGCGUCUGAUUAACUAGUUGGUGAGGUAACGGCCCACCAAGGUGACGAUCAGUAGCCGACCUGAGAGGGUGAUCGGCCACAUUGGAACUGAGACACGGUCCAAACUUCUACGGAAGGCAGCAGUAAGGAAUCUUGCACAAUGGGGGAAACCCUGAUGCCAGCAACGCCGCGUGAACGAUGAAGGCCUUAGGGUUGUAAAGUUCUGAUCUGUGGGAAGAAGAAGUGACGGUACCACAGGAGAAAGCCCCGGCUAAAUACGUGCCAGCAGCUGC
This 489-nucleotide ribosomal RNA is filed under the name uncultured bacterium. RNAcentral's name for it is "bacterial SSU rRNA". It matches the Rfam family "Bacterial small subunit ribosomal RNA", at positions 30 to 518 of the family's 1533-position model. The record is from RNAcentral.